GGUCAAGUGAUAACGUUUCGUCUGUCGCCAAUCCUCCUCUAUCGCGUAGACUGAUGGUCCCGUAUUGCAGCUCAAUCCAUCUCCCUGCGCGCCGCCGCCGGAAGAAAUCCGCUCAUGGGCUGUAGCUCUCCGCACGCAUGACCAUCGGGAGGGGACGAACCCCGCACCCAAGGUGAGUGGCGCCGUCCAUCGGGAGGCCGGGAGAAGCCAGGAGGAACCCUGUUACCCGGCGAGAUGGGAAUUCAUCUUGGAGUCCCGACCUCAGGCGCUGCCUCGACUAUGCCGCCUCCCACCUCAGAGAUGGCCACGCGGACGGAAUACGUGGCGACGCUGGCCAUCAAGGCCGACCAGUCAUGCUCUUGGACCAGAUUUGCGUUGUCGGUCCCGGUGACCUCGGUCGUCGAGGCCAUUCUCAUCCCCGAUGGCCUUUGGAGAGUGCUUCUUAAACUGGCCAUGGAGAAGAAUGAGGAUAUAUCGAGGUUCAUCUUCUGCGAGGCAAGGCCAGUCAAUCCCAUACGGCCAGAAUUGCGUCUUUGAGGGAAAUGGGUCAGCCUGGUGGGGAUUUGGAUCCCAGUUCCACGGUUGAGGUGUUGGGGAGAAGAUGGGGACUUCAAUCGAUUUGUACGUUGACCCGAGUUGGUGACGCCGAUGGAUUCCAACCAAGUGAAUUGCCGUAUGAUUGUGUCUCUGAUUAAGAAAAAUUCCGCCCCGGAUGGUCGCCUGCAAUGUUUGCUGCCCUUACCCGCACUACAAUCAUGCUAUCUAUCUAGGCCAAGCCAAUACAGAGCAUCAACUUCGUUGAAUUUAUCAAAUGAUGAGCUGAUGCAGCCAGUUGAUGGAAUUCAUGCUGCUUCAGCAUUGGCAGCAUUGGCUACAGAAUAACUUUCUAAUUCACUACAGUAUCACAGAAAUUAAAUUACUUACGUGCAUAUGUAAAUCUAUCAGAAGGUGUUGGUGGUGCAUAUGUGUUUUACCUUACAUACAUAUGUAAAUCUAUCUGAAGGUCCUGAUGGUACAUAUGUGUUUUAGCUUACAUGCAAGUCCAUCUGAGAUGGCUUAUCUACUAUCUGAAGUGUGUUGGAUUGGGAGUUAUACCAAUGAAUAAUCUGGUUCAUGUUUCGGUGAUGUAGGAAACACAAAUUAAUAACUUUCAAACAUGGGUAGAACAUAAUUAUUCUGCUCAUGUAAGUGGGAAGAAAUAAAGCAUCUAAUUCGAUAUG
Molecule: long non-coding RNA, 1220 nt
Organism: Lolium perenne
Lineage: Eukaryota; Viridiplantae; Streptophyta; Magnoliopsida; Poales; Poaceae
Source: RefSeq, a predicted model, not a curated record